GUCUCCCGUGCCUGCUGUGCUGAUAAUCAGUGUCUGUUUCCAGCUGGCUCAGUUCAGCAGGAACAGGGG
This is a microRNA precursor of Astyanax mexicanus (Mexican tetra), 69 nucleotides long. It matches the Rfam family "mir-24 microRNA precursor family". Rfam says of the family: This family represents the microRNA (miRNA) mir-24 family. miRNAs are transcribed as ~70nt precursors (modelled here) and subsequently processed by the Dicer enzyme to give a ~22nt product. In this case the mature sequence comes from the 3' arm of the precursor. Lineage: Eukaryota; Metazoa; Chordata; Actinopteri; Characiformes; Acestrorhamphidae. The record is from Rfam.